AGUGAACGCUGGCGGUAGGCCUAACACAUGCAAGUCGAACGGCAGCACAGUAAGAGCUUGCUCUUACGGGUGGCGAGUGGCGGACGGGUGAGGAAUACAUCGGAAUCUACUUUUUCGUGGGGGAUAACGUAGGGAAACUUACGCUAAUACCGCAUACGACCUACGGGUGAAAGCAGGGGAUCUUCGGACCUUGCGCGAUUGAAUGAGCCGAUGUCGGAUUAGCUAGUUGGCGGGGUAAAGGCCCACCAAGGCGACGAUCCGUAGCUGGUCUGAGAGGAUGAUCCGCCACACUGGAACUGAGACACGGUCCAGACUCCUACGGGAGGCAGCAGUGGGGAAUAUUGGACAAGGGGCGCAAGCCUUAUCCAGCCAUUCCGCGUGGGUGAAGAAGGCCUUCGGGUUGUAAAGCCCUUUUGUUGGGAAAGAAAAGCAGCAGGUUAAUACCCCGCUGUUCUGACGGUACCCAAAGAAUAAGCACCGGCUAACUUCGUG
RNAcentral lists this ribosomal RNA (492 nucleotides) under uncultured bacterium. RNAcentral describes it as "partial 16S ribosomal RNA". It matches the Rfam family "Bacterial small subunit ribosomal RNA", at positions 29 to 507 of the family's 1533-position model. The record is from RNAcentral.